UACGAAGGGGGCUAGCGUUGCUCGGAAUGACUGGGCGUAAAGGGCGCGUAGGCGGUUUGGUUUGUUAGGUGUGAAAUUCCUGGGCUUAACCUGGGGGCUGCACUUAAGACGGCCAGGCUUGAGUGUGAAAGAGGGUCGUGGAAUUCCCAGUGUAGAGGUGAAAUUCGUAGAUAGUUGGGAAGAACACCGGUGGCGAAGGCGGCGACCUGGUUCAUUACUGACGCUG
This 226-nucleotide ribosomal RNA is filed under the name uncultured bacterium. RNAcentral's name for it is "partial 16S ribosomal RNA". It matches the Rfam family "Bacterial small subunit ribosomal RNA", at positions 524 to 748 of the family's 1533-position model. The record is from RNAcentral.